RNAcentral lists this long non-coding RNA (1219 nucleotides) under Theobroma cacao (cacao). RNAcentral describes it as "long non-coding RNA (TCAC_LNC006183)". Lineage: Eukaryota; Viridiplantae; Streptophyta; Magnoliopsida; Malvales; Malvaceae. The record is from RNAcentral.
UGGAAAAGGAAUUUUUUAGAAUGAAUUAUCAUUGUUUAGUUUUGAUCAUCGUACAAAUCAAUAUGAACUUAAUGUUCAAAAGAUUAUUAUUUUUCAAAAUAUAGUAAAUAAGUUGCCAAAUGUAUUUACUGACCUAAAAGAAUAACUAAAUCUUAUCUACCAGCUGCAAAUGCUCCUAUUAGCAUUAAUGUCCUUGUAGGACAAGGCAAGCCAGAAGCGUGGAGACCAAUCGAUUUCAAAGAUAAAAUCUGCAACGACCACUCUCCGGUCGCUGCCGGCGUCCAAGACUUUCGAAAAAGACCCGCCAAGUCUCAAACAAGCCUGUCUAGAAUUUGCUCGUUAAUCCACUACAUUCAAUCACCAUAUAAUAUUGAUACUUUCAUAUACUAACUUGAACCAUAAAUAUAAAAAUCAAUACAAACUUUUUCCUUUUUAUUUGUAAGUAUAUGUAUUAAAAUCUAUAAUCUCCAAAUUAAUGCUUAUGUAAAAAUUUAGAAUUUGUUUACAACUUAAUAAAUAAAAUGCUACGACUUGACCUCUAACAGCGAAGCGACUCGAAAUAAAAUGCUAGGAGAUGCCUUUACCUAUUCACAGUAGAUCGAAUGUGUCACUGACUACAUGCUAGGCUGAUCCCUAUCUGCAAAAGGGAAAAUAAAGGGUGUGAGUCUCAUCGACUCAGUGAUAAUCAUCGACUCAGCGAGUAGGGCGUAGAUGGGAAACAAGUAAACGACAUAUCAGUUUAAUAUAAAAAUGUAGAUUAUAAAAACAAUUCGUUUCAAACGGGGAUUUGUGCCUUAUAUAAAAAUUGAGAAUUUCUUAUAAAGUAUAAAUAAUCGAGGUAAUAAAAUUUUUUUCACAUCAAAAUAUAUUAAUAAUCAUUUUCGAAUCAAAUCAAUAAAAUUUAGCAAGCUCCCGCAAAACCAAAUAAUAUUUAAAAUCAUGCCCAAAUCAUAACUCGCCCCAUAUGCGAGGAAUUACAGAUUUAUUUCACAGAUAAACAUAUAGGAGAGCUGCGAAAAGCCGUUUAAUUCCUUUUUCACCAUGCAGAGAAAUAUAAUUCAUAAUAUUAAAACUUAUUUCAACUCAUAUAAAACCAUUACAUUUUUAUCAAAAAUAAACAACAUGGCUUAUGACUUUCUUAAAAACUUGGCUUGUGCCAAAAUCAUUCUCAUACUCGGUUGUCAGGGAUACCUUGGCCUGGGGCUAUCCCAACCGAAUC